This 78-nucleotide transfer RNA is filed under the name Halarsenatibacter silvermanii. RNAcentral's name for it is "tRNA_Arg_TCT". It matches the Rfam family "tRNA". Rfam says of the family: Transfer RNA (tRNA) molecules are approximately 80 nucleotides in length. Their secondary structure includes four short double-helical elements and three loops (D, anti-codon, and T loops). Further hydrogen bonds mediate the characteristic L-shaped molecular structure. tRNAs have two regions of fundamental functional importance: the anti-codon, which is responsible for specific mRNA codon recognition, and the 3' end, to which the tRNAs corresponding amino acid is attached (by aminoacyl-tRNA synthetases). tRNAs cope with the degeneracy of the genetic code in two manners: having more than one tRNA (with a specific anti-codon) for a particular amino acid; and 'wobble' base-pairing, i.e. permitting non-standard base-pairing at the 3rd anti-codon position. The record is from RNAcentral. Lineage: Bacteria; Bacillati; Bacillota; Clostridia; Halanaerobiales; Halarsenatibacteraceae.
GCGCCCGUAGCUCAGCCCGGACAGAGCAACGGACUUCUAAUCCGUAGGUCACAGGUUCGAAUCCUGUCGGGCGCACCA